GAUGAACGCUGGCGGCGUGCCUAAUACAUGCAAGUCGAGCGAACAGACGAGGAGCUUGCUCCUCUGACGUUAGCGGCGGACGGGUGAGUAACACGUGGAUAACCUACCUAUAAGACUGGGAUAACUUCGGGAAACCGGAGCUAAUACCGGAUAAUAUAUUUAACCGCAUGGUUCAAUAGUUAAAUACGGUUUUUCUGUCACUUAUAGAUGGAUCCGCGCCGCAUUAGCUAGUUGGUAAGGUAACGGCUUACCAAGGCAACGAUGCGUAGCCGACCUGAGAGGGUGAUCGGCCACACUGGAACUGAGACACGGUCCAGACUCCUACGGGAGGCAGCAGUAGGGAAUCUUCCGCAAUGGGCGAAAGCCUGACGGAGCAACGCCGCGUGAGUGAUGAAGGUCUUCGGAUCGUAAAACUCUGUUAUUAGGGAAGAACAAAUGUGUAAGUAACUAUGCACGUCUUGACGGUACCUAAUCAGAAAGCCACGGCUAACUACGUG
Molecule: ribosomal RNA, 497 nt
Filed under: uncultured bacterium
Lineage: Bacteria
Description: partial 16S ribosomal RNA
Rfam family: Bacterial small subunit ribosomal RNA
Source: RNAcentral